AAAAACUAAAAAUUAUCUCCGUUAUUAAAAAAAUGUUUUAAGAUGAUUUAGACUAAAUAAAACUCCUAAGAAUAAUGCAUAGUAUCUCGUGUUAAAAGGAACAGCCUGUAUUCAUAUGUUGCUUAUCAUAACUAUAAAAUAUCCAUAAUGGUAAAAGGGGAAUUCCCUUUCCCUCUCUUGUAAAAUCUAGAAGUAAAUCCCCCUUAUUUAAUUUAUAAUGAUUUGAAGCAUAUAAAUACCCCAGUUCAGUGUUUUAUUAAAUCGAGAUCAAGUAAAAAUGAAGUUGUUACUGAUCGUCUUAUUUGCAAUUUUUUGUGGUAGUUCACUUCAACUGGAAGAGAAAGAAAAUUUUAGAGAUUCUCAUAUCAGUUUCAAAAGAUCGUCUACAACUAAUGGGUGUUCAGAAUUACAAAUAAUGCAGUGUAAGUUUAGAAAAUGUAUUCUGGGCGCUUAUUGUGUUAAUGGAGUUUGUAAAUGUAAUAUACCCAUAAAAUAAAAGUGCUUUCGUAACUCUA
This is a long non-coding RNA of Tribolium castaneum (red flour beetle), 515 nucleotides long. RefSeq lists it as uncharacterized. The record is from RefSeq and is a predicted model, not a curated record. The transcript is spliced from 2 exons. NCBI's taxonomy places the organism in Eukaryota, Metazoa, Arthropoda, Insecta, Coleoptera, Tenebrionidae.